This is a long non-coding RNA of Equus quagga, 507 nucleotides long. RefSeq lists it as uncharacterized. The record is from RefSeq and is a predicted model, not a curated record. The transcript has 3 exons. NCBI's taxonomy places the organism in Eukaryota, Metazoa, Chordata, Mammalia, Perissodactyla, Equidae.
GUAGACGUCACCGCUCUUGCGAGCAUAGAGGUUUCCUGCUGACCUGGGACUGUGUGCGCCCGGCCACGGAGGGGAAGGAACUGGAGGGGAAGGCAUUGCGGGCUCGGGCUCGGGAGAGCCGCAGGGCUCCCUGGGAUCCCGAGGGAGCGAUGGAGAGCGAGAAAUCCUGACCGUCGGAGCCCAUCUUCCAUGGCACGACGGUGAAGUUCAGACCGGAACUGUGAAAAGCACAGCGCCACAUCAAACCGCUGGGUACCACCCCUGUCCCGGAAUGCUGUGAUGCAAAGAACAUGCCCUGACUAGCCUGCUGAUCCAAAGACAAUGAGAUAUAUGUGGAGCAGACUUGGACCCAACACGUGGCUCUGGAGAAAUAGGAUCAUUCGCCCAGCAGUCUGCUUUGGAGUGAGGCAAACCUACCAAGAUUAGAUUAAAGACUUCUCUGCUUCCUUGUUGGUCAUGAGUACUGAGCAAAGUCUAUUCUGCUUAUCUACAACACCCUAAUCAGCC